UGUAUAUAUUGCGUCGUGUGAGAGUUUUUCUAAAUACGCGUCUCUAACAGAGAUUAGAUCAGCGAUAAUAAUUGAUUUGUACGGAGAAUCUUUCCCCGUCCUUCCUAAUCGUCAGAGUUAUAGAUUAACUAGUCGCUAUGAAUAAGAAUCAGCGUAAGGCUAGGAUACCAUUGGAGUUUAUUAAUGCAAAUUAAUGGGAGAACGCGCAUCCUUUUGUAGGAUCCCGUGGAGCUUGUGAGAAUGUGCUGGAUAGCCCCGAUUGAGGCAUAGCCAGUGAUAUUGAUAAGACUCGAUUAUUUUACUGCUAAGU
Molecule: long non-coding RNA, 310 nt
Organism: Vespa mandarinia (Asian giant hornet)
Lineage: Eukaryota; Metazoa; Arthropoda; Insecta; Hymenoptera; Vespidae
Source: RefSeq, a predicted model, not a curated record